UGUGAAGACAAAUGAAGUUUUAAUGGAGGAGAUCACAGAGCGUGACGAAGGUGCUCUCAAGUAUCUGAAAGAUAUCAAUUGGUGCAGGAUUGAAGAGCUCAAGGGAUUCAAUUCAAGUCUUUUUGUUUAGAUAUUGAUCUUAGAUGCUCCUCCAGCUCUUCAGAAGCUAAGAGAGAACUUUCCUAGGUAAAAUUUAGUCACUUGUUUUAUGUGUUACUGUAAUUCUGCGUAAUUCUCUUCCUUCCAGACUGAAUAAAUGUUUUUAUUCAUGAAAUUUUUAAGCUUUAUGUGUACACUGGGACAAUCGACCCCACGGUAAAUGAGAAGAGGUAAUUUUCUCACUGGGAAUAUACAAUAAUUGAAGAAUAAAUGAUCAUUGGCUUAAACCUUCUAAAAUUCGAGAUGACGUCUUCUAUUUUGCAGGUUUAUAAUUCCUAGAUUCGGAGAGCAGGAGACCGUAGAUUUGGAACAUAAAACAGUUGUAGAAGUAGGUUUUUUCUUCUAAGCUGUAGUAGUUCUAUUAUCAGUUUUGAAAGAUAUUCAUAUUGAUCCAGAGAACCAACUGAUAUUCAUUUAGUUUAUUUUGAUUGAGAUUUUUCCAUUCCAGUUUCAAUGAACAUAAAGUAUGGGGUUAGAUUGUAAUCCAAUUAAACUAGUACUUUUGCAUAUAGGGUUACAGAGUGAUUUUGGUGAAUGGAAAUAGUUAUCACUUUACAGAACAUGGUCUUGACUACCUACUACAUGGUUUUCUGAUUUCUCAAAAAUGAUUAUCAAAAACAU
Long non-coding RNA from Papaver somniferum (opium poppy), 780 nucleotides. RefSeq lists it as uncharacterized. The record is from RefSeq and is a predicted model, not a curated record. NCBI's taxonomy places the organism in Eukaryota, Viridiplantae, Streptophyta, Magnoliopsida, Ranunculales, Papaveraceae. The transcript is spliced from 3 exons.